This 494-nucleotide ribosomal RNA is filed under the name uncultured bacterium. Its description in RNAcentral is "bacterial SSU rRNA". It matches the Rfam family "Bacterial small subunit ribosomal RNA", at positions 29 to 508 of the family's 1533-position model. The record is from RNAcentral.
UUGAACGCUGGCGGCAUGCCUUACACAUGCAAGUCGAACGGCAGCACGGGGGCAACCCUGGUGGCGAGUGGCGAACGGGUGAGUAAUGCAUCGGAACGUGCCCAGUAGUGGGGGAUAGCCCGGCGAAAGCCGGAUUAAUACCGCAUACGUACUGAGGUAGAAAGCGGGGGACCCAAGGGCAACUGAGGGCCUCGCGCUAUUGGAGCGGCCGAUGUCGGAUUAGCUUGUUGGUGGGGUAACGGCCUACCAAGGCGACGAUCCGUAACUGGUCUGAGAGGACGACCAGUCACACUGGGACUGAGACACGGCCCAGACUCCUACGGGAGGCAGCAGUGGGGAAUUUUGGACAAUGGGCGAAAGCCUGAUCCAGCAAUGCCGCGUGUGUGAAGAGGGCCUUCGGGUUGUAAAGCACUUUUGUCCGGAAAGAAAUCCGCCUGGCUAAUACCCGGGCGGGAUGACGGUACCGGAAGAAUAAGCACCGGCUAACUACGUGC